GGGCCGCGGUAAUUUGACCGUGCAAAGGUAGCAUAGUAGUUAGUUUUUUAAUUGAGAUCUUGUAUGAAUGGUUGGACAAAAGAAAUACUGUCUCUAUGAUUUUUAUUGAAUUUAACUUUUGAGUGAAAAGGCUUAAAUUAUUUAAAAAGACGAUAAGACCCUAUAAAGCUUGAUAAAUAAAUUUUCUAGAGUUGAGGUAUAGAUAAUGUUUUAGUGAGUUGAAUUAUUUUGUUGGGGAGAUAAUAUUAUAAUUAAUAGUAACUGUAAAUAAAUAAUACAUUGAUGUAUGUAUAAUUAAAAUAAAAGAUCCUAUUAUAAAGAUUAGAAGUUUAAGUUACUUUAGGGAUAACAGCGUUAUUUUUUUUAAGAGUCCAUAUCGAAAAAAGAGAUUGCGACCUCGAUGUUGAAUUAAAAAUUCUAAAUAAUCGUAGCAGUUAUUUGAGAAGGUCUGUUCGACCUUUAAAUUUUUA
RNAcentral lists this ribosomal RNA (470 nucleotides) under Arcotheres sinensis. RNAcentral describes it as "partial large subunit ribosomal RNA". It matches the Rfam family "Bacterial large subunit ribosomal RNA", at positions 1928 to 2598 of the family's 2925-position model. The record is from RNAcentral. Lineage: Eukaryota; Metazoa; Arthropoda; Malacostraca; Decapoda; Pinnotheridae.